UAGGGAUCAACCAUCCCAGUUUGCCAGGAAUGGAGGGGUAUUUGGAAUACAAGACCCUCAGGGAUAAAACUGGGACAGUUCUAGGCAAACUGGGACAGUUGGUCACCCUAAUCCAAG
RNAcentral lists this microRNA precursor (117 nucleotides) under Marmota monax (woodchuck). Lineage: Eukaryota; Metazoa; Chordata; Mammalia; Rodentia; Sciuridae. The record is from RNAcentral.